CUUAGCGGCGGACGGGUGAGUAACGCGUGGGUAACCUGCCUUACACUGGGGGAUAACAGUUAGAAAUGACUGCUAAUACCGCAUAAGCGCACAGGGCCGCAUGGUCUGGUGUGAAAAACUCCGGUGGUGUAAGAUGGACCCGCGUCUGAUUAGGUAGUUGGUGGGGUAACGGCCCACCAAGCCGACGAUCAGUAGCCGACCUGAGAGGGUGACCGGCCACAUUGGGACUGAGACACGGCCCAGACUCCUACGGGAGGCAGCAUG
Molecule: ribosomal RNA, 264 nt
Filed under: uncultured bacterium
Lineage: Bacteria
Description: partial 16S ribosomal RNA
Rfam family: Bacterial small subunit ribosomal RNA
Source: RNAcentral